CGCACAUAAGACAUGCAAGUCGAACGGAAGUCGUUGUUAAUGAUUUUGACAUGAACAGAGAACUUGUUCGAAGGAAUUGAAGAUUGACUUACAACAAUGGCUUUAGUGGCGGACUGGUGAGUAACACGUAAGCAACCUGCCUAUUAGAGGGGAAUAACAGCGAGAAAUCGUUGCUAAUACCGCAUAUGCCAUAGUAAUCACAUGAUUAUAGUGGGAAAGGAGUAAUCCGCUAAUAGAUGGGCUUGCGUCUGAUUAGUUAGUUGGUGGGGUAACGGCCUACCAAGACCGCGAUCAGUAGCCGGACUGAGAGGUUCAACGGCCACAUUGGGACUGAGAUACGGCCCAGACUCCUACGGGAGGCAGCAGUCGGGAAUAUUGCGCAAUGGAGGAAACUCUGACGCAGUGACGCCGCGUAUAGGAAGAAGGUUUUCGGAUUGUAAACUAUUGUCUGCAGGGAAGAAAAAAGACUGUACCUGCAAAGAAAGCUCCGGCUAACUACGUG
RNAcentral lists this ribosomal RNA (502 nucleotides) under uncultured bacterium. Its description in RNAcentral is "bacterial SSU rRNA". It matches the Rfam family "Bacterial small subunit ribosomal RNA", at positions 43 to 507 of the family's 1533-position model. The record is from RNAcentral.